CAGUCGCCACGGGAAUACGAAGGGGGCUAGCGUUGCUCGGAAUCACUGGGCGUAAAGGGUGCGUAGGCGGGUCUUUAAGUCAGGGGUGAAAUCCUGGAGCUCAACUCCAGAACUGCCUUUGAUACUGAAGAUCUUGAGUUCGGGAGAGGUGAGUGGAACUGCGAGUGUAGAGGUGAAAUUCGUAGAUAUUCGCAAGAACACCAGUGGCGAAGGCGGCUCACUGGCCCGAUACUGACGCUGAGGCACGAAAGCGUGGGGAGCAAACAGGAUUAGAUACCCCCGUAGUCCCUGUCUCUUAUAC
This 301-nucleotide ribosomal RNA is filed under the name uncultured bacterium. RNAcentral describes it as "partial 16S ribosomal RNA". It matches the Rfam family "Bacterial small subunit ribosomal RNA", at positions 509 to 807 of the family's 1533-position model. The record is from RNAcentral.